RNAcentral lists this transfer RNA (76 nucleotides) under Phycisphaerales bacterium. RNAcentral's name for it is "tRNA-His". It matches the Rfam family "tRNA". From Rfam's summary of the family: Transfer RNA (tRNA) molecules are approximately 80 nucleotides in length. RNAcentral also lists the same sequence under 1 other name. The record is from RNAcentral. Lineage: Bacteria; Pseudomonadati; Planctomycetota; Phycisphaerae; Phycisphaerales.
GCCGCCUUAGCUCAGUUGGUAGAGCAUCGGCUUGUGGAGCCGGGUGUCGUUGGUUCGAGCCCAACAGGCGGUACCA